RNAcentral lists this ribosomal RNA (253 nucleotides) under uncultured bacterium. RNAcentral's name for it is "partial 16S ribosomal RNA". It matches the Rfam family "Bacterial small subunit ribosomal RNA", at positions 524 to 776 of the family's 1533-position model. The record is from RNAcentral.
UACGAAGGGGGCUAGCGUUGUUCGGAAUUACUGGGCGUAAAGGGCGCGUAGGCGGCGCGAUAAGUCAAAGGUGAAAUCCCUCGGCUCAACUGAGGAACUGCCUUUGAAACUGUCGUGCUUGAGGCCGGGAGGGGGUAGCGGAAUUCCCAGUGUAGCGGUGAAAUGCGUAGAUAUUGGGAGGAACACCAGUGGCGAAGGCGGCUACCUGGACCGGUUCUGACGCUGAUGCGCGAAAGCGUGGGUAGCAAACAGG